UGGCAAACCCCAGUGCCCCACAGUGUUGCAAUGCAGUGCACCGCAAUGCGUCUAGUGUAGUGCUAAUUUGGGUUGGUUGGCGCAUGUAAUGAACGGGUAAAUAAUGAGUUGUGUCAUGACUUUUUCUCAAUCUUGGGACGUAUACUUUAGGAGGACUGAUAUCAAUAAAACUACUUUUUCAUGAACAUUUUGAUAGGGCAUAUUGUUGUUUCAAAAUUGAAGCCAGACAAUAUGUAAAGUUUCGCCAUCUGACAGAAAUGCGGUCAGCGGCACCAGCCUCGCAAAAUAUACACCUGAAUAGUGUGGCAUAAUGCAUUGGUGUUCCACAUAUAUGCACCAGAAAGUUUUUCUCGAAGAAUAGAAAGGAGAACGUCAUGCAAGCUCUUUUAGAAGGAAUAUCUUGAAAACUUGUGUCGCUCACCAAGUUCGCACUUACUGGGCACAUUUUGCGUACAGGCUGACUUGAAUUUAGUAAUUACUGUAUGCUAUUUAAAUUGAAAAUGAAAGCUAGCCGAUUGCAAUAAGUACAUAUGAAGUUUAAUACUAUAGGAUAGAUACACUUGACAUGAAUUGCCUUGAAUACUGUAUUACCGAAUAAAGUGCCUUUAUUAUCACCAAAUAAUUAACCACAAGCACUAAGAGUCCAACACGUCAAGUACAAAAUGAAUAGGAACACUAAGUGUCCAAUCGGAUUCACCCGUGCUGGUCUUGAGUCACACGAUCUGUGCGUAGCUCAGGGCAAAUCUCGAAGAAGGAACUUCUUCUGGAAAUGCAGACGCUCGAUGAACUCGUCGACUAGCUUGCCGGGGAAUCCCCUUCUUCUGCAGACUGUCUGCCUUCACGUUACAUCUCUUUACCGAAGCGGUCUAAACCCCCUUCUGAUUCUCGCACGGCGGUUAUAUAGCCGUCACUGGCAUUCUCGAACCUUCCUAUCGGAGUCAUGCCCUCGUAGCAUGGUCAAAGCCUGGGAAUCUUCUAGUCUUUUCUCGCACCUUCGACCGCCGUCGUCGGAGCGUCGUCGAGGGGGUGGUGAAUCAUCCUGUUGGCGCACGCUCAUGCUGUAGUAAUCUCUCUCUCGACUCUCUGGGUGAGAAGGUGUCUCGGCGCCCACGCUCUCUCUCUCUGGUUACUGUCGCUUCGUCGAUGUUCUUCUGGACGUCUACACGCCGUUGGUCGUGUCACCCAUUUGAAGCGUUUACGCUCUCCCCCUCUGUUGAAACAGUCGCGGUGCGGGCUUGCUUCUUUCUCUGGCUUGCAUGACACGCGGCGCGCACCCCGACAACGCGCUCUUUUGUGACAAAUGGUAGCAGGUGAGCAGGCCUUUGCGAGGCUCAGAGACAGGAGUUGCAUUCUGAUAGGGAAAUGGUCGCUGUCCCUGGCGUCUGCAAGGACAUUCCAGGUACCCAAAAGUUUGUGAGAGCCAGGUAACGUCUGGUGUGGUGGCUGAUCGAGCCGCAUGUAGAGGGUAGCGGGUGUUCCUGCAUGACGAGUUAGGAAUGAAACUCGCUCUGCAGUUUGUAAAGUUAAUGAAUCACGAGCUAUUGUGUCCAUACUACUAUCCAUACUACCACUAUUGUGUCCAUAGCGCCCCUGCGAUGUGGGGUGUUGAAGUCUCUUCUAGAGACACAAAAAACUGGAAGUGAGGUUUAGAAUUUGGGCAAGCCAUAAUGCGUCCCUGUCACUGGGAGCAGGUUUCCAGUACACCGAUGACUCUGACAGUGGCUCGGAGCCAAGCUGCACAAUCACUCUCGUGAUUUCGCUAGUCACUGUUUAGGUGUGACGUUGGUACCUGCAUUGCUAGUAUUGAGCGUUUCACCAGAAUGUGAGAAUGACGGAGGGGAGGCAUAGUUUGUUGGUGAGCGUAGCGGGGUGGUAUAACGGCUGGUUGAAGACGCAGUAACCGCUCAUGGUGAUGGGCGAGAGGUUAGCUUCUUGCAGCAAUAUAAUAAUCAGGACUGGGUCUGGGCAGUCAAAACAGAGAAUUCUGCUUUUUUGUUGUGGAUACCAUGACAGUAUCAUUGAAGGAUAGUGUAAGGGAUUUUCUUAGGUUGUGAAGCCAUGUUGUGACACGAUGCUUAGGAGGGCCAACAUGGCGCUCAUCAUUCUGUCAAAAAAAUGUUCCACAGUUUGAGCGAACUAGGUGGCUACACGAAUGUGUUCGUUUUGUAGCAGACGGUUCAGUCUUUCCUUGAUUAAGAAAUGUUAGGGCUUCGCGCUAUGGCUCGGGCAUAGGAGCCAUCUCUUUUGGUGGCGUGACCCAUGUCACGGAUGUACGCGGCGUAGAGGCUGCAGUAGUCUGUGCACGCAAUUUUGGCAAGUCUGCUUUCUUGGCCACGUUUUUGAGAGAAUGAGCUGGCUGAGAUUUAUUGGCGCCCAUUGAAGUCAAGGCUGCUUCCUGAUGAGGGUUUGGGCGAGGAGGGAGUCUUGGCCACUUCCGCCGAGUCAUUUGUAGGGCGGCUCACUGGAGGCAGAGACUGGGCGCUGUGGUCUCCUGGUUGAGAUGUGCUAACAGUUUUUUCAUUGCUAUCAUUGGUGGGUGCUUUGGGAGCAUUAUUGCAGGCAAUUUGGGGCAUCUGGCGAUGUCGAGAGAUGCGUAGCUUGUGCUGAUAGCCAUGCUGGUUUGUGAGUUGUUUCCUUAAAGGGGCAAGAAUUAUCGGUGGCACUGUGCGGGCCUUGACAGUUUCUGCAUAUAGGCAGCUCAUGGCGGCCAUAUAUCUCAACACGGUGGGGUGAACGGCCACAUGUAGAGCAGCACAGUGCCUCUGACAGGCACACGCCGUGGGUGUCCGAGCAGGUAGCGAUGGGUGCAGACCGUCGCCUUAGGGUGAAACAGGGUAAUCUGCAUGUGAUGGAGGCAGUAAGUGAAGAAAUGUGGAAGUGUGGGCUCGGUGAAUGUCAUAAGUACGUUCUGGCCCUGGUUGUCGAGUGGACGUGCAGCAUCCGGCUUGCAAGUCCCACAGAUUAUUUGUGUGAGGAGCGUGGGGUCACGGUCUUUAACAUCAAAUCCAUGAAAUAUGAUAGAUGUUUCGGUUGAGUAGAAAUCGCUGCUGAUGGCAUGCAUGUGAUUCAGCAGCCAGUAGUAGGGUGACAGAGGAUGGCUCGGGCGCAGACAACGUGAAGGUGAGGGGAAGCGAAAAUGGAAGGCGUGAGGAACCGGAGGGGCUCUGUCCACCGUUCGCUGCCACGAUCGCCGCCGUCGUUAGGCUUAUUGCUGAAAUGGCAGUUACGCUUUCCUUUCAGUGCCUGUCAGUGUCGAGCUGGAGGUCAAAUUUUGUAGAAAUGUUCUCAAGGAAUAUUGCAGGUGGGUUGAAGUAUAUUAGCCAGUCCAAGUUCUGAAAGCGUUUGGGGAAAUCAUGAAAACAUUGACGGAGCAUUUCGAACGUGCAACUAUAUACUCGCUGGCACACUCACAGCAUCCUCCAAAACUAAGUGAGAGGACACCUUGGUACAGUGUGCCACCGUGACAGCUGCACAGCUUCAUCUUCCUUGUCCACCACGUUGGUUAAGUUGAACUUGGUUUCCAUCAACUUCUUGCCCUAGUAGGCUGUUCAUUCAACAUAUGGAGCAUUAUUUAAUCUGAAUGUCGCCUUUUCAAUCUAAAAGGCACUAGGAAGUAGCCUUGGGCAAGGUAGAAGACGCGACACUUACAUUUUUGCCCCUGAAAAAUCUUUCAGUCUGGUCAUAAAUAACUGGGUAAGGGUACUUUUUAGCGGUCUGAGCAUUCAAGCUGCGAUAAUGAACUAUGUAGGUGUUUCUUGCAUUUUUGUGCCAGAAUUACACGUUUUGUGCUGGGAGAAAAAGGGGGUCAGUGUCCUAAUUUUUAUUCUUUUCUACUUACUGACAACCUCUCAGGUUUUCUCUUUUUCUGUCCUAAACAGUCUUGCUGCAAAAGGUAUGCAUUGCUGUGUGCUGUGUUGUUCUGUAGUUGAACCAGAAGCAUACAAGCUUUUGUUCCUUUGAAGCUCUGCUUUCCUGAUCUGCCUUGAGAAUUUUUUAAGUGUUUGCACUGGUUGUUCAACGGCACCAUUUGAGGCUGGCUGGUAUGGAGCUGUUUAUGUAUUUUGACUCCAUUGCAGCUUUAGAAGUUUCCUUAUUUUUGCAUUACGAACUGCAGCCAAUUAUUUAAGACUAGUUCCCUGGGUACCCUGUACAGUGCGAUGAGUCUGUGUAGUAGGGUGACUGUCUUCUCUGCAGUCAUGGUGUUCAUAGUGUUCCCAUUUUAUUUGGCUAGCACCGGUGGUAUCCUUCUUGCAGUUCAAGUAAAAGAACGCGCAGCGCUGAAGGAGCAAUUGCUUGCAAACCUCAUGACAAGCAUUCCUUGUCUGUUGCCAACUCAUUUGUACGGCUGAAACCCUUUCUCUACGAAUUGACUUGGCCAUGUGUGUAAAGAAAAUUUCAUUACUUCUGACAUUACAGAGUAAUUUGCUAUCGCCUUGGCUAGAUCCUUGCUUGUUAUUGGCAGUUCAUCUGCUCCAGAAACAUGGUACUCGGCAUCAUCUCCCAUUUCUUCCUCUGGAACACUACAUGGUACCUGGAUGGUGUGUCCACGUUUGCAUGCUCUUCAGACUUACUAGAGAUAAUACAGUAGACUUCUGUUAAUUUGAUUCAGAUUAAUUAGAUUUUUCUGAUAAUUUGAUCUGAACCGAAGGGCCCGGUCAGCGCCUAUACAUUUCUGUGAGCCCAAACUUAUAUUACAGUCGAACCCGGAUAUAUCGAACCCACAUAUAACAAAUUGCUGUGCAUAACGAACAGCAGUAAAAUCCCCUUAAAAAUUUUUGCAUAAAAUUUUUAUUUUGUAUAUCGAAUUACCUAUAUAUCCCCUAGUGAAAAUCCUGAACUGGGAACUCAAGUGGUUACAACUGGUAUCAAGUGGUUCCAUCUGGUAAUCAACUGGUCCCAGUUGAAAUCCAACUGGUCUCUACUGGAUGCCUACUGGGAAGCAAGUGGUCCCAGUUGGAGGCAAAGUGGUUACCAACUGGUUCCAGCUGGGAGCCUACUGGGCCUCAUAUUUCCAGGUACAGACUAAUUUGCCAACAAGUGGUUCCAGUUGGAGGCUGAGUAGAAACCAACUGGUACCAAUUAGACAUCAUCUGGUGACGAAAUUUUCAGGUACAGACCAGAUUGGCCGUAAAUGGUCCCAGUUGGCUCUCAACUGGGCGUAUUGUAUCUACAUGAAGCAGCAACCUGUCAAAUCAUUUUAUAUACAGGGGGCUACAGAUGCACACAGUUGAAAGCAACUGGAACAGUGCCUUCCAGCAGUAAACUAGGUAGAAAUAUAUUGGAGCAUGUUUUUAUGAAGCUAUUGAGCUGGAAAACAAUUUAUUGAGCAAAUUAAUGAUUCUCAAAAUGGAUAGUUCCUUGGUCCGAUAAUGAAAGUAGUACUUCAGAUACAUUCAGAUGGAACUGAUACAUGCUCUAUGGAAGUUGCCAUUGCAUGAUUUUAGCAUAUUCAAAUUGAGAAAAAGUGCCCAUUAUUUUAUUGCGAAACAAGAGGGUGCGAGAUGAUGUAUCUAAUAUUUGCUGACUAACCCACAUAGUCAAGGCUGUAUAUGUGCAUGCAGUUUUUCUUCUGCGGGAGCAAGCAGAAUAGUAGUACAGGUGCACAAAUAUAUUUUGUUUGAUCGAAGACUAGGUACCUGUUAGAUUUCAGAAGGGGCCAGCCCCCUGUCAAGACACACAAAUGUAUGUCUGUUUUUGUAUGUGUGCCAACACAUCUCUGACUUGUACAAUAUGUACAAUUCAUAAAUAGCAACUCGUUUACUAAUUUGAAGAAACUUUUUCAUUCCAUAAUUUUGUGAGGUUUAUAUGGAAGCAGUGUACACAUUGAGAUCAGAUGCUCCAGGCUCUCUAUUUCAUGUCUGAAAGAAGAAGAAAAAAAAAAAAGGAUGAACACCAUAAAAUGUUUAUUCAUCUAACUACAUUUAUCCAAAGGCACAUGAGCAGGGCUUACAUGAUUAAAUCCAUACAAAGAUAUGUACAAUGCAUAAGAGAGAGUGCUUAAAAUACUGUUUGGACAUAAGAAACAGACUUUCAAAACACUGUUUGUUCAAUGUAAACAUUAUAUACCGAAGAACAAACACUGACACAAAAAGGAACUAGGAAGCAAAUAUUAAGAAAAUGCUCAAAAGGUGUUUUAAAAGGGUGUUCUACCGCAGAUAUUUAUGCCACUGAUUGCAGUAUGAGGUUUCUCAAUGCUUCAGGAAAAAUAUUAUUAGGGGCACAAACAUCGCUUUGGGAAGUUUGUUCCGUUUGUUUAUCUUAUGAGAGAAAAAAAGCACCAGCUUUAAUAAGUACA
Long non-coding RNA from Dermacentor silvarum, 6295 nucleotides. RefSeq lists it as uncharacterized. The transcript is spliced from 3 exons. Lineage: Eukaryota; Metazoa; Arthropoda; Arachnida; Ixodida; Ixodidae. The record is from RefSeq and is a predicted model, not a curated record.